GGGUUGUGAGGUUAAGCGACUAAGCGUACACGGUGGAUGCCCUGGCAGUCAGAGGCGAUGAAGGACGUGCUAAUCUGCGAUAAGCGUCGGUGAGGUGAUAUGAACCGUUAUAACCGGCGAUUUCCGAAUGGGGAAACCCAGUGUGUUUCGACACACUAUCAUUAACUGAAUCCAUAGGUUAAUGAGGCGAACCGGGGGAACUGAAACAUCUAAGUACCCCGAGGAAAAGAAAUCAACCGAGAUUCCCCCAGUAGCGGCGAGCGAACGGGGAGGAGCCCAGAGCCUGAAUCAGUGUGUGUGUUAGUGGAAGCGUCUGGAAAGGCGUGCGAUACAGGGUGACAGCCCCGUACACAAAAAUGCACAUAUUGUGAGCUCGAUGAGUAGGGCGGGACACGUGGUAUCCUGUCUGAAUAUGGGGGGACCAUCCUCCAAGGCUAAAUACUCCUGACUGACCGAUAGUGAACCAGUACCGUGAGGGAAAGGCGAAAAGAACCCCGGCGAGGGGAGUGAAAAAGAACCUGAAACCGUGUACGUACAAGCAGUGGGAGCCUCUUAAUGGGGUGACUGCGUACCUUUUGUAUAAUGGGUCAGCGACUUAUAUUCUGUAGCAAGGUUAACCGAAUAGGGGAGCCGAAGGGAAACCGAGUCUUAACUGGGCGUUAAGUUGCAGGGUAUAGACCCGAAACCCGGUGAUCUAGCCAUGGGCAGGUUGAAGGUUGGGUAACACUAACUGGAGGACCGAACCGACUAAUGUUGAAAAAUUAGCGGAUGACUUGUGGCUGGGGGUGAAAGGCCAAUCAAACCGGGAGAUAGCUGGUUCUCCCCGAAAGCUAUUUAGGUAGCGCCUCGUGAAUUCAUCUCCGGGGGUAGAGCACUGUUUCGGCAAGGGGGUCAUCCCGACUUACCAACCCGAUGCAAACUGCGAAUACCGGAGAAUGUUAUCACGGGAGACACACGGCGGGUGCUAACGUCCGUCGUGAAGAGGGAAACAACCCAGACCGCCAGCUAAGGUCCCAAAGUCAUGGUUAAGUGGGAAACGAUGUGGGAAGGCCCAGACAGCCAGGAUGUUGGCUUAGAAGCAGCCAUCAUUUAAAGAAAGCGUAAUAGCUCACUGGUCGAGUCGGCCUGCGCGGAAGAUGUAACGGGGCUAAACCAUGCACCGAAGCUGCGGCAGCGACACUAUGUGUUGUUGGGUAGGGGAGCGUUCUGUAAGCCUGUGAAGGUGUGCUGUGAGGCAUGCUGAAGGUAUCAGAAGUGCGAAUGCUGACAUAAGUAACGAUAAAGCGGGUGAAAAGCCCGCUCGCCGGAAGACCAAGGGUUCCUGUCCAACGUUAAUCGGGGCAGGGUGAGUCGACCCCUAAGGCGAGGCCGAAAGGCGUAGUCGAUGGGAAACAGGUUAAUAUUCCUGUACUUGGUGUUACUGCGAAGGGGGGACGGAGAAGGCUAUGUUGGCCGGGCGACGGUUGUCCCGGUUUAAGCGUGUAGGCUGGUUUUCCAGGCAAAUCCGGAAAACCAAGGCUGAGGCGUGAUGACGAGGCACUACGGUGCUGAAGCGACAAAUGCCCUGCUUCCAGGAAAAGCCUCUAAGCAUCAGGUAACAUCAAAUCGUACCCCAAACCGACACAGGUGGUCAGGUAGAGAAUACCAAGGCGCUUGAGAGAACUCGGGUGAAGGAACUAGGCAAAAUGGUGCCGUAACUUCGGGAGAAGGCACGCUGAUAUGUAGGUGAAGCGACUUGCUCGUGGAGCUGAAAUCAGUCGAAGAUACCAGCUGGCUGCAACUGUUUAUUAAAAACACAGCACUGUGCAAACACGAAAGUGGACGUAUACGGUGUGACGCCUGCCCGGUGCCGGAAGGUUAAUUGAUGGGGUUAGCGGUAACGCGAAGCUCUUGAUCGAAGCCCCGGUAAACGGCGGCCGUAACUAUAACGGUCCUAAGGUAGCGAAAUUCCUUGUCGGGUAAGUUCCGACCUGCACGAAUGGCGUAAUGAUGGCCAGGCUGUCUCCACCCGAGACUCAGUGAAAUUGAACUCGCUGUGAAGAUGCAGUGUACCCGCGGCAAGACGGAAAGACCCCGUGAACCUUUACUAUAGCUUGACACUGAACAUUGAGCCUUGAUGUGUAGGAUAGGUGGGAGGCUUUGAAGUGUGGACGCCAGUCUGCAUGGAGCCGACCUUGAAAUACCACCCUUUAAUGUUUGAUGUUCUAACGUUGGCCCGUAAUCCGGGUUGCGGACAGUGUCUGGUGGGUAGUUUGACUGGGGCGGUCUCCUCCUAAAGAGUAACGGAGGAGCACGAAGGUUGGCUAAUCCUGGUCGGACAUCAGGAGGUUAGUGCAAUGGCAUAAGCCAGCUUGACUGCGAGCGUGACGGCGCGAGCAGGUGCGAAAGCAGGUCAUAGUGAUCCGGUGGUUCUGAAUGGAAGGGCCAUCGCUCAACGGAUAAAAGGUACUCCGGGGAUAACAGGCUGAUACCGCCCAAGAGUUCAUAUCGACGGCGGUGUUUGGCACCUCGAUGUCGGCUCAUCACAUCCUGGGGCUGAAGUAGGUCCCAAGGGUAUGGCUGUUCGCCAUUUAAAGUGGUACGCGAGCUGGGUUUAGAACGUCGUGAGACAGUUCGGUCCCUAUCUGCCGUGGGCGCUGGAGAACUGAGGGGGGCUGCUCCUAGUACGAGAGGACCGGAGUGGACGCAUCACUGGUGUUCGGGUUGUCAUGCCAAUGGCACUGCCCGGUAGCUAAAUGCGGAAGAGAUAAGUGCUGAAAGCAUCUAAGCACGAAACUUGCCCCGAGAUGAGUUCUCCCUGAGACUUAGAGUCUCCUGAAGGAACGUUGAAGACGACGACGUUGAUAGGCCGGGUGUGUAAGCGCAGCGAUGCGUUGAGCUAACCGGUACUAAUGAACCGUGAGGCUUAACCUUACAACGCCGAAG
This 2925-nucleotide ribosomal RNA is filed under the name Escherichia coli. Its description in RNAcentral is "23S ribosomal RNA". It matches the Rfam family "Bacterial large subunit ribosomal RNA". Lineage: Bacteria; Pseudomonadati; Pseudomonadota; Gammaproteobacteria; Enterobacterales; Enterobacteriaceae. The record is from RNAcentral.